Molecule: non-coding RNA, 128 nt
Organism: Triticum aestivum (bread wheat)
Lineage: Eukaryota; Viridiplantae; Streptophyta; Magnoliopsida; Poales; Poaceae
Source: Rfam
GAAGUACUCCCUCCGUCCGAAAAAACUUGUCUCAAGCUUGUCCUUCAAAUGGAUGUAUCUAGCACUAACUUGGUGCUAGAUCCAUCCAUUUGAGGGACAAGUUUUUUCGGACGGAGGGACAUUACUAU